RNAcentral lists this ribosomal RNA (223 nucleotides) under Escherichia coli. Its description in RNAcentral is "partial 23S ribosomal RNA". It matches the Rfam family "Bacterial large subunit ribosomal RNA", at positions 2118 to 2340 of the family's 2925-position model. Lineage: Bacteria; Pseudomonadati; Pseudomonadota; Gammaproteobacteria; Enterobacterales; Enterobacteriaceae. The record is from RNAcentral.
UGAACAUUGAGCCUUGAUGUGUAGGAUAGGUGGGAGGCUUUGAAGUGUGGACGCCAGUCUGCAUGGAGCCGACCUUGAAAUACCACCCUUUAAUGUUUGAUGUUCUAACGUGGACCCGUAAUCCGGGUUGCGGACAGUGUCUGGUGGGUAGUUUGACUGGGGCGGUCUCCUCCUAAAGAGUAACGGAGGAGCACGAAGGUUGGCUAAUCCUGGUCGGACAUCA